UACGUAGGUGGCAAGCGUUAUCCGGAUUUACUGGGUGUAAAGGGCGUGUAGGCGGGAGUGCAAGUCAGAUGUGAAAACCACGGGCUCAACCUGUGGCCUGCAUUUGAAACUGUACUUCUUGAGUACUGGUGAGGCAGACGGAAUUCCUAGUGUAGCGGUGAAAUGCGUAGAUAUUAGGAGGAACACCAGUGGCGAAGGCGGUCUGCUGGACAGCAACUGACGCCGAGGCGCGAAAGCGUGGGGAGCAAACAGG
Molecule: ribosomal RNA, 253 nt
Filed under: uncultured bacterium
Lineage: Bacteria
Description: partial 16S ribosomal RNA
Rfam family: Bacterial small subunit ribosomal RNA
Source: RNAcentral